GCUAUUUUGGCAGAAAAGUGUAGUGGUUUUAGAAAUCAUAAAUGUAUAAUAAUUUAAUUUAUAUAGGUAGUA
This 72-nucleotide transfer RNA is filed under the name Tyspanodes striata. Its description in RNAcentral is "tRNA-Leu". Lineage: Eukaryota; Metazoa; Arthropoda; Insecta; Lepidoptera; Crambidae. The record is from RNAcentral.